This 73-nucleotide transfer RNA is filed under the name uncultured Candidatus Thioglobus sp. RNAcentral's name for it is "uncultured SUP05 cluster bacterium tRNA-His-GTG". It matches the Rfam family "tRNA". From Rfam's summary of the family: Transfer RNA (tRNA) molecules are approximately 80 nucleotides in length. Their secondary structure includes four short double-helical elements and three loops (D, anti-codon, and T loops). Further hydrogen bonds mediate the characteristic L-shaped molecular structure. tRNAs have two regions of fundamental functional importance: the anti-codon, which is responsible for specific mRNA codon recognition, and the 3' end, to which the tRNAs corresponding amino acid is attached (by aminoacyl-tRNA synthetases). tRNAs cope with the degeneracy of the genetic code in two manners: having more than one tRNA (with a specific anti-codon) for a particular amino acid; and 'wobble' base-pairing, i.e. permitting non-standard base-pairing at the 3rd anti-codon position. The record is from RNAcentral. Lineage: Bacteria; Pseudomonadati; Pseudomonadota; Gammaproteobacteria; Pseudothioglobaceae (SeqCode).
GCGGGAAUAGCUCAGUUGGUAGAGCCCCGGAUUGUGAUUCCGGUUGUCGCGGGUUCGAAACCCGUUUCUCGCC